AUGAGCAACCCUGUAUAUGAUUUUAGCACUUAAUAAUAGCGAGUAAUGUUUACGUUUCGCAGCGCCCCCAUCGGUAGUUGAACUAGCGAAUUGCCAAUAAGUCAAUAAAGUUGUGAGUCGGUAAUGGUAUCGAUACUUUGAGAAUACUCAUGUGAGUAGUAUUGCAAGAUGAUUUGGUUACUACUCAUUUGAGUAGUAACCGAUACUUUCUCAGUAUCGAUCCUUACUACCUAAACUACGUACCCUAAUCUCUUCUCUGUCUCGAAUAAAUAACAGGUUCUCUUGAUACCCCUAGUAACUCUCUUGUUUGACACUGAUAAAAUUAACCACUUUUACAGAAAAAUGUAAAUAUAUUUAGAUGCAUAUAGAUGCAUCUGCUUAAUCAGAGGUUGAAAAAUGCAUGUAUACAUUCGUCAGUUAAUAAGCUCAAACAAAAGGCUCUGCAAUAAUCACUUUGUGCAAUUCCUUUGAUAUUAUUCAUUUUGAUACUUUGAUUUGUAUGAUUCAAUUUUUGUAAAAACCAUUCAUUCCAUUAGCCAGGUUCUGAUCGUGAUAGCAGAAUUUUUUAUAGCAGUUCCAUGGAGAUAGUGCUUAUGCCCAGAAUAGGCAUAUGUAUACUUCAGAAACAUCGAAAAACCCAAAAAGAGGAGCCGAGCAGCGAUAUAAUAACGCAUAUAUUUUAACAAGGAAUGUUAUUCAAGGCGCUUUUGGUGUAUGGAAAGGUCGUUUUAAACGUUUAGAAAAGUGCUUGAAAGUAUCAUUACGACAUACCACCAGAAUUGUUGCUGCUACAGCUGAGGUUCUUAAUAUAGCCAAUGACACCAGCCAGAAAAUCGAUGAAAGUAAAACUAUGGAGGAAACUGAAAGGUUUCCGCAGUCCGAAGCGCCAAUAUGGCAAUCAGCGCUGCUUUCAUUCACGAAAUUUUAACAGAUCAACGGAUUCAAAUUGAUUUCAUAUUGUAUUAACCCCCAAUUUUUUCUAAAUUUGCUUAUUUAUCUCUAGUCGUUUUGCUUUCACUCCCUCCUGUUUUAGAAUUUCUUUGGCAAUAGAUAUACGAACAUUCUGCCAUUCUGAAAUUGUUUCUCAGAACUCGGCAUGAAACUGCGCUUAGCACUCAUGUUGUUAUACAUAAUUAAUAAACAUGUAUUAUAAACGUAAAAACAUCACGUUUAUAAUACAUAUUUAUUCAAACACUCAUAACAAAACAAGUGAUAAUAAAAGCUGAACUGAGGUUAUGGAACCGGAAUGAAGUUAUUCACUUAUGAGAACAUAACCCUACUAAAACUGUUUUCUUUGAACCAGUUGUCACUCAAGUGAGUGACUCAUUAGUGUCGUUUUUAAAUACCGAAAGUUGGCUUUAGUUAGGGACCACUCAUCUCACCCUAAUGUGAGUGGCAGAUGAGUGAGAGUUGGAUUUGAGAUGAGUAGCGUAUGAGUGGCGUUCUUGAAUUCGGCCUUAGACUUGCAGCAACCGAUUAUGGUGCCUACCAAUUUUCAUAUUAAUAAUAUUUCGCGAUUUUUUUUUCUAACGAACGAGCUACGUGAUUUUAUUAUUAGGUACCCGUAAAAUCUAUAAGUAGGCCUGUUUUUUCGGUAGUUUAUUUUUAUCUUAGGCAACUUUAUUCUUAUAGAUGCCUCUUUAAUACAUGUAUCAAUUUUAUUGUCGGCGGAGCCCUACCGUAGGCUUUGCGAAGCACCGGGGCUCGGCGGAGCACACUUUGAGUAGUAGCGCUGGUUUGGGCCUUUAUUUCCGAGAAUUUGAACACAGUAUCACAUCGUAAUCGUGCCGGUUGGGUCCCUCCGAAUUUUUAGUUUUUUUCUUGUUCUAGUUUAAAGAAUACUUCAAAUUCAGCAGUUCCAGCGAAAAAGUUAAUAAAAAUUGUUUUCUCAGAUAUCUAGGAUGUGGAUUCACUAAAGUUGGGUGGGUAUAAAUUACUUAGGCCUUUUUAGGUAAUAAAUUUUUACUUUCUGUAUAUUUUUCAGUUUCCUUUAAAAAAUCACCAACCAUGCUAACACCAAGGGCGGAUCCAGGGUGGGGGUCAUGGGGGUCAUGACCUCCCCCUUGUGCUGGGUUUUUAACGACUAACGAGAAUUUCUCGAAUUUCAUAGACGACAAAAGACUGAAUUUCUACUACUUGACCCCCCCCCUGACUCGAAAGCUGGAUCCGCCCCUGGCUAACACAAACAAACUAAAUCACAAUUAACCAAAAGGAAAAAAACGUAAAAAUACGUGGCAACACCGCAUUGUGUUGAGACAAAUAAUUCGCAUUCUGAAUCGACGCGCUAGAUAACCUCAAUUCAUUGGCGACGUUGAAAAAGAUGCUCAAACUUUUGCGAAAAACACAAUUAUUAUGCAUCUUAGCGACAGGUUUGCUUGGGGAGUUAUGAAAGUUUACACUUAGUAACAGGUGCAGAUUUUGUCAAGAACAACAAGCAUUUGUCAAGAAAAAGCAAGAAAAGGAGUUAAUUGCAGCAGAGCCUUUCAGGAGUACUUGGAGCAUUGCGGCGCAACAGCUGACACUUUCCGGGUCAACGGUGUCCCGGAUAAUUACCCAGGAAGCGCAAGUUCCCUACUAGGGAUGGACGGCGGUAUUUAAAGCAACCGCAGUUACAGGUAGUCGAUUUAACCGGUUAUUUUUGGAACCGUCUUAUAAAACCGAAAAAGGGGUUUGCACCAGCACAGAACUGACGCGACAUCCUCGAGCCAUCCAAUAAACAUUGUCACUUUAUCGUGUUUAUCACUUUUUCGUCUAUAAGAAUUAAGUACUGGUUCUGUUCUUCAAAAACCAUAAUCAGUCAGAUCUCAGCAAAUUAUUGCUUAUUUGCGGUGGUGAUAUAAUUAAGCAUAUUUAGUCUAUUAUUAAGUACUGUUCUCUGACGAUCUGUAAUAAAUCUUUGUUAAAAAGGGA
This is a long non-coding RNA of Dendroctonus ponderosae (mountain pine beetle), 2910 nucleotides long. RefSeq lists it as uncharacterized. The transcript has 2 exons. NCBI's taxonomy places the organism in Eukaryota, Metazoa, Arthropoda, Insecta, Coleoptera, Curculionidae. The record is from RefSeq and is a predicted model, not a curated record.